CCGCACAAGCGGUGGAGCAUGUUGGUUUAAUUCGAAGCAACGCGAAGAACCUUUACCAGGUCUUGACAUCCCGAUGCUUAUUUCUAGAGAUAGAAAGUUACUUGGUACAUCGGUGACAGGUGGUGCAUGGUUGUCGUCAGCUCGUGUCGUGAGAUGUUGGGUUAAGUCCCGCAACGAGCGCAACCCCUAUUGUUAGUUGCCAUCAUUCAGUUGGGCACUCUAGCGAGACUGCCGGUAAUAAACCGGAGGAAGUGGGGAUGACGUCAAAUCAUCAUGCCCCUUAUGACCUGGGCUACACACGUGCUACAAUGGUUGGUACAACGAGUUGCGAGUCGGUGACGGCGAGCUAAUCUCUUAAAGCCAAUCUCAGUUCGGAUUGUAGGCUGCAACUCGCCUACAUGAAGUCGGAAUCGCUAGUAAUCGCGGAUCAGCACGCCGCGGUGAAUACGUUCCCGGGCCUU
This 461-nucleotide ribosomal RNA is filed under the name uncultured Streptococcus sp. RNAcentral describes it as "bacterial SSU rRNA". It matches the Rfam family "Bacterial small subunit ribosomal RNA", at positions 921 to 1382 of the family's 1533-position model. Lineage: Bacteria; Bacillati; Bacillota; Bacilli; Lactobacillales; Streptococcaceae. The record is from RNAcentral.